AUCGACGUAGGCGAAGCUGGAGCAACAGAUAGAUACCUGUAGUCACGCGUAACGAUGUCACUAGUGUGGUCCUGUGACUAGUACCAGCUAACGCUUAAGUGACGCCUGGGAGUACGCCGCAAGUUAAACUCAAAUGAAUGACGGGGCCGCACAAGCGGUGGAGCAUGUGGUUAAUUCGAUGCAACGCGAAGAACCUACCUACUCUUGACAUCCAGAGAAUUCGCUAGAGAUAGCUUAGUGCCUUCGGGAACUCUGAGACAGGUGCUGCAUGGCUGUCGUCAGCUCGUGUUGUGAAAUGUUGGGUUAAGUCCCGUAACGAGCGCAACCCCUAUCCUUAUUUGCCAGCGAGUAAUGUCGGGAACUCUAAGGAGACUGCCGGUGACAAACCGGAGGAAGGUGGGGAUGACGUCAAGUCAUCAUGGCCCUUACGAGUAGGGCUACACACGUGCUACAAUGGUCGGUACAACUGGUUGCUAACCCGCGAGGGGGCGCUAAUCCACUAAAGCCGAUCGUAGUCCGGAUCGCAGUCUGCAACUCGACUGCGUGAAGUCGGAAUCGCUAGUAAUCGCGGAUCAGAAUGCCGCGGUGAAUACGUUCCCGGGCCUUUNCACACCGCCCGUC
RNAcentral lists this ribosomal RNA (621 nucleotides) under uncultured prokaryote. RNAcentral describes it as "bacterial SSU rRNA". It matches the Rfam family "Bacterial small subunit ribosomal RNA", at positions 749 to 1398 of the family's 1533-position model. The record is from RNAcentral.